UGGCCACCCACCGUUGGAUAU
RNAcentral lists this microRNA (21 nucleotides) under Prunus persica (peach). RNAcentral describes it as "microRNA miRNA_103". The record is from RNAcentral. Lineage: Eukaryota; Viridiplantae; Streptophyta; Magnoliopsida; Rosales; Rosaceae.